This is a non-coding RNA of Ascosphaera atra, 99 nucleotides long. The record is from the annotation of a GenBank genome assembly. Lineage: Eukaryota; Fungi; Ascomycota; Eurotiomycetes; Onygenales; Ascosphaeraceae.
GACACUUUGGCCGAGUGGUUAAGGCGCAAGCCUGCUAUUACAUAAUAGCCUUGAGAGCUUGUGGGUUCGCCCUCGUGAGUUCGAAUCUCACAGGUGUCG